AGUGAACGCUGGCGGUAGGCCUAACACAUGCAAGUCGAACGGCAGCACAGAGGAGCUUGCUCCUUGGGUGGCGAGUGGCGGACGGGUGAGGAAUACAUCGGAAUCUACUCUGUCGUGGGGGAUAACGUAGGGAAACUUACGCUAAUACCGCAUACGACCUACGGGUGAAAGCAGGGGAUCUUCGGACCUUGCGCGAUUGAAUGAGCCGAUGUCGGAUUAGCUAGUUGGCGGGGUAAAGGCCCACCAAGGCGCGGAUCCGUAUCUGGUCUGAGAGGCUGGUCAGCCACAAUGGAACUGAGAAGCGGUCCAGACUCCUACGGGAGGCAGGAGUGGGGAAUAUUGGACAAUGGGCGCAAGCCUGAUCCAGCCAUACCGCGUGGGUGAAGAAGGCCUUCGGGUUGUAAAGCCCUUUUGUUGGGAAAGAAAUCCAUCUGGUUAAUACCCGGGUGGGAUGACGGUACCCAAAGGAUAAGCACCGGCUAACUUCGUGCCAGCCGCCGCCGUAA
Molecule: ribosomal RNA, 506 nt
Filed under: uncultured bacterium
Lineage: Bacteria
Description: partial 16S ribosomal RNA
Rfam family: Bacterial small subunit ribosomal RNA
Source: RNAcentral